AGUGAACGCUGGCGGUAGGCCUAACACAUGCAAGUCGAACGGCAGCACAGUAAGAGCUUGCUCUUACGGGUGGCGAGUGGCGGACGGGUGAGGAAUACAUCGGAAUCUACUUUUUCGUGGGGGUUAACGUAAGGAAACUUACGCUAAUACCGCAUACGACCUACGGGUGAAAGCAGGGGAUCUUCGCACCUUGCGCGAAUGAAUGAGCCGAUGUGGGAUUAGCUGGUUGGCGGGGUAAUGGCCAACCCAGGCGAGGAUCCGUAGCUGGAGGGGGAGGAUGAUAGGCGACACUGGAGGUUGAACAGGGUCCAUGCGCCUAAGGGAGGGAGCAGUGGGGAAUAUUGGACAGUGGGGGGAAGCCUUGUCCAGCCAGCCCGCGUGUGAGAAGAAGGCGCUGGGUGUGUGAAGCCCGCUUGUUGGGAAAGAAAAGCAUUAGGUUAAGACCCAGCUGUUCUGACGGUACCCAAUGAAGAAGCACCGGCUAACUUCGUG
RNAcentral lists this ribosomal RNA (492 nucleotides) under uncultured bacterium. RNAcentral's name for it is "partial 16S ribosomal RNA". It matches the Rfam family "Bacterial small subunit ribosomal RNA", at positions 30 to 507 of the family's 1533-position model. The record is from RNAcentral.